UACAGAGACUGCAAGCGUUAUUCGGAUUCACUGGGCGUAAAGGGUGCGCAGGCGGCCAAGUGUGUGAGGCGUGAAAGCCCGGGGCUUAACCCCGGAAUUGCACCUCAACCUACAUGGCUAGAGCAUUGGAGAGGGUAGCGGAAUUCACGGUGUAGCAGUGAAAUGCGUAGAUAUCGUGAGGAACACCAGAGGCGAAGGCGGCUACCUGGACAAUUGCUGACGCUCAGGCACGAAAGCGUGGGGAGCAAAAGGG
RNAcentral lists this ribosomal RNA (253 nucleotides) under uncultured bacterium. RNAcentral describes it as "partial 16S ribosomal RNA". It matches the Rfam family "Bacterial small subunit ribosomal RNA", at positions 524 to 776 of the family's 1533-position model. The record is from RNAcentral.